This is a non-coding RNA of Aspergillus avenaceus, 81 nucleotides long. The record is from the annotation of a GenBank genome assembly. Lineage: Eukaryota; Fungi; Ascomycota; Eurotiomycetes; Eurotiales; Aspergillaceae.
GCCCUUGUGGCGUAAUGGUAGCGCAUGAGACUCCUAUGGUAGUCUAUCUCAAGGUUGCGGGUUCGAUCCCCGCCAAGGGUU